RNAcentral lists this unclassified non-coding RNA (159 nucleotides) under soil metagenome. RNAcentral's name for it is "partial internal transcribed spacer 1". The record is from RNAcentral.
ACGGGUUUUAAUUGUUAGGUUAGAGUUGAGCUGGUUAAUCUAAUUAAUAUGUGCUUACUCUAAUCGAAACAAGUCCACUUAUUACUUAACACUUGUGAACUUAUUCAUUACAAACAUUAUUAUUUGUUAUUGAAACGUUUGAUUAUUAAAAAGUUAAUA